RNAcentral lists this ribosomal RNA (274 nucleotides) under uncultured bacterium. Its description in RNAcentral is "partial 16S ribosomal RNA". It matches the Rfam family "Bacterial small subunit ribosomal RNA", at positions 523 to 796 of the family's 1533-position model. The record is from RNAcentral.
AUACGGAGGGUACAAACGUUGUUCGGAAUUACUGGGCAUAAAGCGCACGUAGGCGGCCCGAUAAGUCAGUUGUGAAAGCCCUCGGCUCAACCGGGGAACUGCAAUUGAAACUGUCGGGCUUGAGGGUGGUUGGGGUGAGUGGAACUUCUGGUGGAGCGGUGAAAUGCGUAGAUAUCAGAAGGAACACCAGUGGCGAAAGCGGCUCACUGGACCAUUCCUGACGCUGAGGUGCGAAAGCUAGGGUAGCGAACGGGAUUAGAUACCCCAGUAGUCC